AUCACAGGCCGCGAGAAAGUGACUGUCUACCAGACACGCGCCCUGGGAAGAGGGCGAGCGGCGCGCUAAUGAAAGGCAGAUAAAGGGAUCGCAGGCGCAGACUGCACAUCGAGGCUUUUGUUGGUAUGUCUGCUCUCCCAGAGGAGUCCAGAUGUGAGGCACUGGAAGGGACUGGAGGGAUCUUAAUGGCUCCAAGUGUAUCUAUCUGAGACCAGAGAGGAAGAGAGUAUGCUUCUUUCCCACAUCAACGGGACCGAAAGGUUGAACUUCUUCAGCUCCUUUAGGACGGACAUCCUCUUGGCUAACAAUUACGCUGCUCCCACUUGAGACCCACAGCAUCGAUGAGGGAGUCCCACGGGGUUAAUAGGGGCGUUCACUUAAAAAAACAUUCAAAGAACCGUGUAGAUGCUGGCGCGCAAAAACAAAGGUGUUUUAAUUCUGCUAGAAGUGGAUAAAUAAAUGAUUUUGAAUUGUAGUCUUCUUCCAGCGUCUCUGUAGACCAGCAGUUAUUAUUUCUGACAGAAGAGAAUCCUUCAAUGAACUUAUUCACUUGGAUUACAUCUCAUGCUUGUAUGGUAGUUGAGUAGUGUGCUUGUUAUUUUUGGCCUUGUUUAAUCCCAAUGGGGAAGAUUGUUGCAUAGGGUCAGUAAAAAACAUAUUAAACUGUAUCAAAACAAAUUAGUUUGAUAAAUGAAAUUUCAUAUUUCAUAUCGUUUGGGGUGUUGAAUGUCCAUUACCAAUAAAAGGGUCCCGAGGACAAAAAAAGUUCCUUAACCAAAAAACUUCCAGUCGACUUCCCAGGCUUUUCCUUGUUCUGGGCUCCUCCAUGUAGGGCCGGUUCCCAGUCUGCUGUUCGCUUUUCCUUCCAGCCAGGUGUUGGUCCCCAGCCCGGCCUCAAUUGGGUGCCUUAAACACCUACAGCUGUGGGAUUGUUGAGGCCUUCUGGGAAAUGCAGUGUCAGUGGCGGCCAUCUUGUACCUAUUUUGCGCAGGGAUGCUGUGGCCCUCUAUUACCUUGCCCCUUAGGAUGCCACAUCUCAUUUUCAGGAUAGCAAAAUAAAUGACUUAAUUGCAGUGCUGCAAUUCAGUGUCCUCUCUUAUUUUGUGUAGCGUAGAUUCUCUUUGGGGAAUAAUGAGCACGAGGCGACCAGACUGGUUUCGCUCUCUGAAGUUUGUGCCAGAAACGCACAUCCUCGUUAGACUGCUCCACUGGUACUGAGAACUGAGAGUUCCCAGCAUCGCCCUUUGUGAGCCAUUGUGUUUGCAUCACUCUCCAGCCCCUAAACCUUCAAGUGUAUAAUUGAGUGGCUACAGAAUAUUUUCAUUAAGUCAGAAGUAUGUGUCCGGACAGAGUGAACGUCUCUGUACUCAGCCUAAUGUACUUCAGAGAACUCUGCUACGGGGGAAUUGAAUUGAAGGUCUUAAAGGGUCCACUUUGAAAUAGAUCAGUACCCGCUUACACCCCCCCCCCACCCCACCACUCACCCUGGAUAUGAGAGGUGCGGGCAUACAUUUCAAAAUGGACAGCGAAAGAAAUUAUUGAGUUUUCGUCAUUUUGAUCUGAGUAUUGAGAGGGGAUAAAAAGGCACAGUCCAAAGCGCAUCAGAAAAAAGGAGCUUACAUUUCCUAUAAUAUUAAACCGAAGUCAGCCUUUGAUCUUUUAAUCCUGCGCUCAUAAGGUUGUGAGAUAAGCAGGCAUGACUAACGUCUCUUUCUAAUAGUGAAGAAAGAGCAGAGCCCACAUAAUGAGCUCUUUUACCCCUUUUGAAGACAAAUUGGACUGAAAUUCCAUAUUUAAUGGAUCUUAC
Gasterosteus aculeatus aculeatus (three-spined stickleback) is the source of this 1807-nucleotide long non-coding RNA. Lineage: Eukaryota; Metazoa; Chordata; Actinopteri; Perciformes; Gasterosteidae. The record is from Ensembl.